Nanorana parkeri is the source of this 694-nucleotide long non-coding RNA. RefSeq lists it as uncharacterized. NCBI's taxonomy places the organism in Eukaryota, Metazoa, Chordata, Amphibia, Anura, Dicroglossidae. The transcript is spliced from 3 exons. The record is from RefSeq and is a predicted model, not a curated record.
AUUGUUUUAAUAAAAGUAAAAGUAAAAAAAAUGUUUUUUUCUAGAUUAUUAAUGAAAGUGGUUCUAGUGCUAUUUGGCACUUCAUACACUUGAGGAACCUAUAAAAUGUAUUUAUUUCUCAUUUGCUGAACACCAUUAGCUAUAUUUGAAAUAUAUGUUACAGUGGUUUGGCACAAUAUAUCAUAGUUGCUCAGUGCUCAACAGUCUAGCCGCCAACUUAGUACAAUUUUCAGCAAGAACUUUCAUCCAGGUAGAUGUAUUGUUCAUUGGCGGCUGAACUAGGUUGACCUAUAAUACUUCAAAUGCUUUGUACACACAGAAGAACGCCUUUAAGUUGAUCAGUUAAAUGUGGUAGUAUUUUGAUUUUUUUUUUGUUUUGAACUGAUACAGAGGAAAAUAAUCACAUAUUAAUAACCAUAGAGGACAGACAACUAUAAACCGGAAUAAAGAACAUAACAAAAGAAAUGAGGAAAAAAAUUAUGACAACAAUGCAAAGUGCAAUCUUGUGUCAUUUUUAUACCCAGGUUUCUGCAUUUUUUCUUUACUUUUUAUUUUUAUUCAGUUUUUCAUCUUUAGCAUAUAAUUUCUACAGAAAUUAUACAGAGAUACAGAAAGUAUAACCUGUACCAGACAUAAUAGGAUACCAAAAGUAUAGUCUAUACCUUUCAGCCCCCCCAGCCCCCCCAGCCCCCCA